CUGGGAUAACACUGACGUUCAUGCUCGAAAGCGUGGGUAGCAAACAGGAUUAGAUACCCUGGUAGUCCACGCCCUAAACGAUGUCAAUUAGCUGUUGGGCAACUUGAUUGCUUAGUAGCGUAGCUAACGCGUGAAAUUGACCGCCUGGGGAGUACGGUCGCAAGAUUAAAACUCAAAGGAAUUGACGGGGACCCGCACAAGCGGUGGAUGAUGUGGAUUAAUUCGAUGCAACGCGAAGAACCUUACCUGGUCUUGACAUGUACGGAAGAGAGUAGAGAUACUCUUGUGCCUUCGGGAGCCGUAGCACAGGUGCUGCAUGGCUGUCGUCAGCUCGUGUCGUGAGAUGUUGGGUUAAGUCCCGCAACGAGCGCAACCCUUGUCAUUAGUUGCCAUCAUUAAGUUGGGCACUCUAAUGAGACUGCCGGUGACAAACCGGAGGAAGGUGGGGAUGACGUCAAGUCCUCAUGGCCCUUAUGACCAGGGCUUCACACGUCAUACAAUGGUCGGUACAGAGGGUAGCCAAGCCGCGAGGUGGAGCCAAUCCCAGAAAACCGAUCGUAGUCCGGAUUGCACUCUGCAACUCGAGUGCAUGAAGUCGGAAUCGCUAGUAAUCGCAGGUCAGCAUACUGCGGUGAAUACGUUCCCGGGUCUUGUACACACCGCCCGUCACACCAUGGGAGUGGGGGAUACCAGAAGUAGAUAGGGUAACCGCAAGGAGCCCGUUUACCACGGUAUGUUUCAUGACUGGGGUGAAGUCGUAACAAGGUAGCCGUAGGGGAACCUGCGGCUGGAUCACCUCCUUU
This 803-nucleotide ribosomal RNA is filed under the name Kingella kingae. RNAcentral describes it as "bacterial SSU rRNA". It matches the Rfam family "Bacterial small subunit ribosomal RNA", at positions 729 to 1533 of the family's 1533-position model. The record is from RNAcentral. Lineage: Bacteria; Pseudomonadati; Pseudomonadota; Betaproteobacteria; Neisseriales; Neisseriaceae.